CUGUGUGCGCGUGACGGAGGAGUCAUGCGUCUGCAGCGACACCUGCGCCUUACGGUCUGCGCGGUGCGGAGGAGUUUCCCAGACAGCCGCGAGAUGGAGCAGCCUGCCCCUUCCUGAGCCGUUCCCGUCCCCCCACGCUGGCUUCGCGCGGUAGCUUUAUUGGCCGUGUCUCAGACGGCGCGAACAGCUGAUCGAUACUUUUGCCCAUCUCUGUCGCGGGCGGUACUUGUUCGUUGCGUACGAUAUAUGUGUUAUCUUUUUGUGUUGUGUUUCGCGGGAUGAGUUUAUACGGGGAUAUUUUUCUGUUAUUCCGCAUGUUAUUUGUUUUACGGAUGAGUAUGGCAUGUUCAUGUGUUAAUGUUUAUGUCCGCGUGUCUGCAGUACUUGCGGGUUCCCGUGACUGGCGGGCUCUAAGUCAGCCGCCAUACUCAGUCUUUUUCAUGGUGUACUCCGUCGAGAAUGGAGGCAUAGCGCCUGAGUGGACGAAAUCGUUGAAACCGCUAGAUGCAUCGUUAUUAUACCAUGCCUACCUGCGCUAGUGCCAGUUUGAGUUGCCACGCUGCUUCAUAUGCUGCACCUACGCAUCAGUAUUCGCUAGUCGACCGCAUCGUGACGAAUACAAGCAACGCUCUGGCUACGGUGUUCUGCGCGUAACAACGCUCGUCAACUACGGCUCAGGCGACAAUAGUUUCAACGAUCGUCUUCAUCAUCGUCUUCCGGGGGCAUCAGCAUGUCUGCUUGCUGAUUCCGUCGCUACCGGCCGACGCAUGACCGCUGCAGACGCGAUUGCCUGCCGCCGUGGGGACUGGAUCCAGGAUGGAGGUUCCAGCAGCCUAAUGUCCCUGCGGUGGCGGAGGUUCGCGUCUGCUGGCUGGCACCUACUGGGUGGACGCCACUGCUACUGAUGUACUUGCGGGUUCCCGUGACUGGCGGGCUCUAAGUCAGCCGCCAUACUCAGUCUUUUUCAUGGUGUACUCCGUCGAGAAUGGAGGCAUAGCGCCUGAGUGGACGAAAUCGUUGAAACCGCUAGAUGCAUCGUUAUUAUACCAUGCCUACCUGCGCUAGUGCCAGUUUGAGUUGCCACGCUGCUUCAUAUGCUGCACCUACGCAUCAGUAUUCGCUAGUCGACCGCAUCGUGACGAAUACAAGCAACGCUCUGGCUACGGUGUUCUGCGCGUAACAACGCUCGU
This 1190-nucleotide unclassified non-coding RNA is filed under the name Amphibalanus amphitrite. RNAcentral's name for it is "uncharacterized LOC122363856, transcript variant X3". The record is from RNAcentral. Lineage: Eukaryota; Metazoa; Arthropoda; Thecostraca; Balanomorpha; Balanidae.